This 420-nucleotide ribosomal RNA is filed under the name uncultured prokaryote. RNAcentral describes it as "bacterial SSU rRNA". It matches the Rfam family "Bacterial small subunit ribosomal RNA", at positions 355 to 774 of the family's 1533-position model. The record is from RNAcentral.
UGGGGAAUUUUGGACAAUGGGGGAAACCCUGAUCCAGCAACGCUGCGUGGAGGACGAAGGUCUAUUGAUCGUAAACUCCUUUUGCAGGGGACGAAUGUGCGGAGCAAUCCGUACUUGACGGUACUCUGCGAAUAAGCCACGGCUAACUAUGUGCCAGCAGCCGCGGUAAUACGUAGGGGGCAAGCGUUGCUCGGAAUUACUGGGCGUAAAGGGUGUGUAGGUGGCUGAUUAAGUUAAGGAUGAAAUCCCGAGGCUCAACUUCGGAACUGUCCUUGAUACUGGUCAGCUUGAGGCUAGUAAAGGAGAGCGGAAUUCCCGGUGGAGCGGUGAAAUGCGUAGAUAUCGGGAGGAACACCAGAGGCGUAGGCGGUUCUCUAGGCUAGUCCUGACACUGAGACACGAAAGCUAGGGGAGCAAACA